UGUAAGCGUAUACCAAAGUUGUUGCAGUUAAAACGCUCGUAGUCGGAAUUUGGCAGUUCCGGAUGUGUGCACGUCGUGUGCGCACUUCGCGGGGAUUGCUUUUGUGGUCUUGCGUAGGAUGAGGCACUUUUAUUAGUGAACGUCCUCACGCAACCACUUUUUACUGUGAGAAAAUCAGAGUGCUCAAAGCAGGCAUUUGCCGUGAAUGUAUUAGCAUGGAAUAAUAGAAUAGGACUUGGUUCUAUUUUGUUGGUUUGUUGGGACUGAGUAAUGACUAAGAGGGACAGUUGGGGGCAUUUGUAUUUCGGUGCUAGAGGUGAAAUUCUUAGAUUACCGAAAGACAAACUGCUGCGAAAGCGUCUGCCAAGGAUGUUUUCAUUGA
This 382-nucleotide ribosomal RNA is filed under the name uncultured eukaryote. RNAcentral's name for it is "partial 18S ribosomal RNA". It matches the Rfam family "Eukaryotic small subunit ribosomal RNA", at positions 592 to 976 of the family's 1831-position model. The record is from RNAcentral.